CCCCUCUCAGGAUGGCACCUGGAGAGUUUCUGGUACUCUACCAGUCUUAGCUACGGGAGGAAGAGUCAAGCGGAGGCCUAUCCAUUCUAGUCCUAGCUUGGCCAGUGGCUAGUGAGUGGUAGGCAAUCUGCUACAAGU
Tachyglossus aculeatus (Australian echidna) is the source of this 138-nucleotide small nucleolar RNA. The record is from RefSeq and is a predicted model, not a curated record. NCBI's taxonomy places the organism in Eukaryota, Metazoa, Chordata, Mammalia, Monotremata, Tachyglossidae.